AAUGAACGCUGGCGGCAGGCCUAACACAUGCAAGUCGAACGGNUCCUUCGGGACUAGUGGCGGACGGGUGAGUAACGCGUGGGAACGUGCCCUUUGGUUCGGAAUAGCCCUGGGAAACUGGGAGUAAUACCGGAUGUGCCCUUCGGGGGAAAGAUUUAUCGCCAAAGGAUCGGCCCGCGUUGGAUUAGGUAGUUGGUGGGGUAAUGGCCUACCAAGCCGACGAUCCAUAGCUGGUUUGAGAGGAUGAUCAGCCACACUGGGACUGAGACACGGCCCAGACUCCUACGGGAGGCAGCAGUGGGGAAUCUUAGACAAUGGGGGAAACCCUGAUCUAGCCAUGCCGCGUGAUCGAUGAAGGCCUUAGGGUUGUAAAGAUCUUUCAGAUGGGAAGAUAAUGACUGUACCAUCAUAAGAAGCCCC
Molecule: ribosomal RNA, 420 nt
Filed under: uncultured bacterium
Lineage: Bacteria
Description: bacterial SSU rRNA
Rfam family: Bacterial small subunit ribosomal RNA
Source: RNAcentral